AGCACCAAAGAGGGGGCAGAUUGAAUUCUGAAAAGAAGAAUGUUCAAAAUUUUGAGCAAUUGCGACAUACAUUCCUUUCUGGCAAGCCUUCCUCUUAUUCAUCGUCCCUCCCCAAACGAAGUUGCAGAACUAAUGAAAGGAAAUGUGCUUCAUACCCAUUCAACCUACUCUUAACCUUAUCCUCCCAUAAAAAAGUGGCAUCCCAAGGUAGAUACUAAUAAUCACCCAAAAACCCUCACAGCAUGUUUCUUCCUCAUCAUUUUCACUUUCACCACAUUUCUUCCUCGACAUUUUUCCCUCAGUACUGGGAGAAGGCAGAGUUUCCAUUCCGAAUUGUUCCCAAACUUGAUGCUCUUCGUAUUUCUCAAGGUUAUUCCUAUGCAGGUUUUGGUUUUUAGCUUAUUUGUUCCUUGAAGUGGAAAUCAAGCAAGAUGUUUGGUUAUUUCUGGGUUGCAGGGUUAUGGAUGCCCAGGUCUCUCCCUCACUGGAAGUGCUAUUGCUCUCACAUUGCUAUUGGUUUCUUAGGGUUUUUGUUUGUUUUUGAAGGAUAAACCAGUGAAGUUAAUCUCAUGUUGAAGAUCUUCAAGAAGAAAACAUUUCCCAAAGAUGCUUUGCUGACGAGCAAGAGAGAAAUGGCGGUUGCAACACGAGGUUGAAGGUAGCAACAAGAAGGGGGAAAAUAUCAGAAGAUUUCUUGCCGACCAUUAAAAAUCAUGGUUGUGUUGAUGAUAUUUUGGUAACUUUUUGUGUUUGUAAUAUUUGGAUGGUAUAAUGACAUGAUAGAAUGACAUUACAAUGUUGUAACUUUUUGAUGUUGUAAAAUUUUAUAACAUAUGGAUUUUGACAUCUAAACUAAUGAAAUCGUGUAACUUUUUGUUAAUAUAUGAAUAUUAUGUUUGCAUGUGAAA
Long non-coding RNA from Gossypium raimondii (Peruvian cotton), 908 nucleotides. RefSeq lists it as uncharacterized. The transcript is spliced from 3 exons. The record is from RefSeq and is a predicted model, not a curated record. NCBI's taxonomy places the organism in Eukaryota, Viridiplantae, Streptophyta, Magnoliopsida, Malvales, Malvaceae.